AACAAGUACUGUUUCAUUAGACAGAGUGCAUGAAAAGCCAGCCUGUGCUUUGUUAACUUUAAACAAAUUGAGUGAAGCCAAGAAACACCGACAUGUUGUGACUCAUUUUCUCAGCAUUGAGCCACAUGGCUGACUUGAUUGUUUCUUGUUGCUGCACAAAGCAGCAGAAGACAACGAAAGCACCAGGAUGACUCAACACCUGUAAAGGAAAACAACAAGUGUGGAGCGUCACACAGGACAUAACCAAAUCCAGUCCACAAAUCAUGUGAUUCCUAUCUUGUUGGGUGAUGAAGUGUUUGUUCUAAUGACGACUUUUCCGGAAACUUUCUGUGGGAAAGCGGGAUCGUCUGACAGCUGACAAGCACGACAGCUUUCCAUUCUCAAUUGUGGCCGUGAUCAUAUCAGAUGAUAAAAA
Corythoichthys intestinalis (scribbled pipefish) is the source of this 415-nucleotide long non-coding RNA. RefSeq lists it as uncharacterized. The record is from RefSeq and is a predicted model, not a curated record. NCBI's taxonomy places the organism in Eukaryota, Metazoa, Chordata, Actinopteri, Syngnathiformes, Syngnathidae. The transcript is spliced from 3 exons.